This 433-nucleotide ribosomal RNA is filed under the name uncultured bacterium. RNAcentral describes it as "partial 16S ribosomal RNA". It matches the Rfam family "Bacterial small subunit ribosomal RNA", at positions 29 to 507 of the family's 1533-position model. The record is from RNAcentral.
AACGAACGCUGGCGGCAUGCCUAACACAUGCAAGUCGAACGAGACCUUCGGGUCUAGUGGCGCACGGGUGCGUAACGCGUGGGAACCUGCCCUUAGGUUCGGAAUAACUCCCCGAAAGGGGUGCUAAUACCGGAUAAUGUCUUCGGACCAAAGAUUUAUCGCCUUUGGAUGGGCCCGCGUUGGAUUAGCUAGUUGGUAGGGUAAAAGCCUACUAAGGCGACGAUCCAUAGCUGGUCUGAGAGGAUGAUCAGCCACACUGGGACUGAGACACGGCCCAGACUCCUACGGGAGGCAGCAGUGGGGAAUAUUGGACAAUGGGCGAAAGCCUGAUUCAGCAAUGCCGCGUGAGUGAUGAAGGCCUUAGGGUUGUAAAGCUCUUUUACCCGGGAUGAUAAUGACAGUACCGGGAGAAUAAGCUCCGGCUAACUCCGUG